Molecule: long non-coding RNA, 240 nt
Filed under: Gossypium raimondii (Peruvian cotton)
Lineage: Eukaryota; Viridiplantae; Streptophyta; Magnoliopsida; Malvales; Malvaceae
Description: long non-coding RNA (GRAI_LNC000621)
Source: RNAcentral
GCAAAUAGUCUCUCGCCAGGAAAAGUUGUACAACACGUUACUAUAUUUUUCAUGAUUGACUUGAAGCUCGAACGGUUUUUGAGCAUUAGUUGCCCUUCUGGCAGCCAAUUGCUGGUGGUGAUUUUGUUUGCACAAGCCGCCAAUUGGUAAGUUGAAAUGUAAUUUUGAUGGAUCAAGGCAUGAUAUGGGUGGUUUUGUUAGAUGUGUUUCUGGUUUUAUGAAGAGUAAAGGGACCUUAUC